This 76-nucleotide transfer RNA is filed under the name Limnospira platensis NIES-39. Its description in RNAcentral is "Arthrospira platensis NIES-39 tRNA-Arg". It matches the Rfam family "tRNA". From Rfam's summary of the family: Transfer RNA (tRNA) molecules are approximately 80 nucleotides in length. Their secondary structure includes four short double-helical elements and three loops (D, anti-codon, and T loops). The record is from RNAcentral. Lineage: Bacteria; Bacillati; Cyanobacteriota; Cyanophyceae; Oscillatoriales; Sirenicapillariaceae. RNAcentral also lists the same sequence under 1 other name.
UGGGUGUGUAACUCAGCUGGAUAGAGUAGCGGCCUUCUAAGCCGUUUGUCGUAGGUUCGAGUCCUACCACACCCGU